Molecule: non-coding RNA, 5941 nt
Organism: Meleagris gallopavo (turkey)
Lineage: Eukaryota; Metazoa; Chordata; Aves; Galliformes; Phasianidae
Source: RefSeq, a predicted model, not a curated record
GCCCGCCCCCAGCAGGUAGCGGUCGGGCCGUCCCCAAGAUGGCGCCGCGCUGAGGCGAGCCCGCGCUUGGGGCUGAGCGGUGCUGCCUCCACACCGUCCCGUUGUGGGCCGGCUGCUGUGGUGUUCUGAGGCCCCAAAGAACUGCCGAGGUUUUGACUACAAGUGGAAGACAGAUCUUUGACAUAUAUGAUGGCCACUUGUCAGCUUUUAAGUAGGCAGAAGAAUAAGUCCUCUAAGGAAUUUCUGUUGUUCCCCAACAAAAUCACUACUAAGCAGCAGUCUGUGGUGCUGGUGAAAAGACUUCUGGCCAUCUCUGUCUCCUGCAUAACAUACCUGAGAGGCCUGUUCCCUGAGAGUUCUUAUGGAACACGUUAUUUAGAUGACCUCAGUCUAAAAAUUCUGCGAGAAGAUAAAAGCUGUCUGGGAUCGUUUCAGAUAGUCAAGUGGAUUCAAGGUUGUUUUGAUGCUUUGGAGAAGCAGUAUCUACAUGUUGCUGUCCUAGCAAUGUACACCAAUCCCGAGGAACCGGAGACAGUGACUGAACUGUAUCAAUUCAAGUUCAAGUACAAAAAGGAGGUGCCCGAGAUGGACAUCAUCAGCAACAAAGCGAACCUUGUGAAUGGAGUGUGCAGCGAGGACAUGAAACAAGCCUGCAGCCUCCUGAUCCGUAAGCUGUACCUGUUAAUGCAAAACCUGGGCCCACUUCCCAACGACAUUACCCUGACCAUGAAGCUCCUCUAUUACAAUGAUGUAACUCCUGAUGAUUACCAACCACCUGGCUUUAAGAAAGAUGACAACGCUGGUGACCUGUUGUUUGAUGGUGAUCCUGUCAACUUGAAACUAGGCUCAGUCUCCACGGGGUUCCACACCUUGAAAGUGAAAGUAACAACUGAAAACAAAAGAAUGGGGAAAGUUGAAAGCAACCUGAUCCAGAAGAACAGCCCUACUGAGAUCUCCCAUCAAGGGUUAGACUGUGAUGAAGAGGAAGAGGAGGGAAGCACUAAGAACAACCCUCCCCCUGUCAGAGCAGAGUCAGAUGAACAUGGAAAGGACAGAAAUUGUACCCAUCCAGGCCUGAGAACUGAAGCAUCUUCUUUUUGCCUUCAAGAUACAGGUGGAAAGGGAAAGAUGGAAAUAAGAGAGAGAGGCAGGCGGCCUUCCUCACAGGCAUCUCAGCAGAUAAGCUGCCUGAACCUUGCAUUUAGCCAGGAAGAGGUAAUAGGACCCAAGAAGAAAAGGAAGGUCAGCGAACCAGAGAAGCUGCUUCUGGAAGGCAGGAAAUGAUGUUUGUUCUGCCACACAAUGCAUUUCAGAAGGUGUGAGUUUGUGUUGUCAUCUGACUGGCAAAGACCUUAAUUCUCUCCUCAUAUUUAACUCUCCACAUGCCACAUAUAUUUCUGCAUACUUUGUCUUGUACAAAGUUUGCAUUGCAAAGAGGCAGUAGGCACCACAGCUGUCAUGACUGGAGGCCAGCAGCACUUGUUUCAUGUUUUAGAGUUGAGGAUUGGUGAUUUCAUGUGGACAGUAUCUGUGUGCUUCUUUGUUUUGUCUCCCUCCCUCCCACCACACACACAUCCCAGUGGCUAAAUUUGUUCCUCUCUGGCUGGGUCCCUUGCCAAUAUGUUAUCAAUAUCAACAGCACUAUUUCAGGAUGAACUCUCUGAGAUAUCGAUGGCAGCAAACAAGUUUCAUGAUUCAUUAGAUUAUGCUUCAUUCUAUCUACUCUUUCCGGAGCAUAGAUUUUAUUUUAUUUUUUUCAGAGAAGGGUUUUUAUCUAUAUUGAAUGCAGAGAUAAAGUAAUCUAUGCACAUUUUCUGCUGUUGCUGCUGAAUGGUUUUUUUUUUUUCUGACUCUGCAAGUAGUGUUGCUAUGGUUAUAAUAUCAACUUACUUCUGAAGCAGCAAUCCACUUCGUACCAAGAGGCAUAGUUGCCCAAUAUAGCUUGUGUUGAAAUACACCAUGUUUCCAACUUAACUUUUAUAAAGGUACCUCUCAAUGGCAAAUAUAGGUAAAGGGAGCAGCAGCAGUAAAAGAAAGAAUUUGUGUCCUUUGGAGCAAAGGUGCUGUGUUUUCUGGCAUGUAGGUUGCCUGGCUGACACUGCCAAGUUAUUACAGGAGAGGUGUGAAAACCUAAUAGUUAUUAUUGGAGUGGAGCAAAAUGAUCUUAAUUAGUCUUAAACACUGUAAAAAUGAUAGUCAGAGAACAAACUCUGCAUUACUUUAUACAUAAGAAAAGAGAUAAUGAAAUUUGAAAUGCCAAAGAAGAGAAUUUAGAACGUCUUCCCAACACGAAGUUGAUCUUACACGAUGGAGAUGGGAUGGAGAAAUAAAAAAGCACUAGAAUGCAACGGAGUAGUGUCCCUGGUAAUGUAGCAGCAUUCCUGGCAUUUCUGAUACUUGUCAGAGAUACUUCAGGCUGGGUCUUGAAGGGCAGUAGUGGUUUGGGGUAUAAGGUGUUCCUUUUGUGGCCUGUGUCAGCUCCACAGAAAGGACUGCUUGGCAGGUGCAUGAAGCCAGAUGCAGGCUUCUUGGGCCAGGCACCCGAAGGAGCUGCUGACUGGGUGGGUGUACGCCCCUAAAUGUUCAACUGACUCCUCCGGGAAACUGAGUAAGGCACUGCAAUCCUAAUGCUAAUGCCACUCCUGUCCUUCCUCGGGCAGACAGACUGCUGGCAGCCCCUCAGCCCAGCAGCGUCUGGCAGGUUUCGUGGCCUAAUGCCUGCUUCACAAAACUUGCAGAACAUGAGAGUUCUCCAUUUUAUCCUCACUUUCAGUCCCUAGUCCUCACAUUUGCACCUGUGGCCUAAUAAGCCAGUUUGUUCACAUGCCAGAGCAAACCAGAAAGCUUCCUUCUGCCCAGAUUUUGUAAUGAUAUUUACUCUCAAGCCUGCACAUCCAUGGGAGGCCUGCGUUCUUUGAGCUCAGCUAUGGCUCAGGACCUGCCUUGACCUGAGAGCUGUGCCCUGGUGCUCCUGGAGGUUGUGGUUCUGUGUUUCUUCAGCCUGCUGGCUCCUGCCUGCCCCCAAAGCCUCGUUAUGUUGUUGUAUUGUGCGUACAGGAGAAAGACAAACAAGCCUGUGGUUAUGGCUACUAGAGGGAAGCCUGUCAGUCUGCCUUGUGCACACCGGAGAACGCAAAGUGUCCUGUCCCGCAAUGAAAGUGAAGGAGGCUGUCUCAUGUUACCACACAGCGAGAGUGAGCGCACAGACACCACAAGUAAAUCCACAGCUUAGUCGAGAGUGCUGCCCUGCUUGUAGCCAUGGCCAGAGGCUCGCUGUCUCAGUGCACACUGCCUUGCAAUCAGCUAUUUUACGGUAACGACUUCUAGUCAUUUUCAUUUCAGGCUCGGUUAGAAAUAAAGUAACUUGUGAUGAACUGCCACAGUAAGCGUCUGAUUUUUCUUUCCCACAAGCUUGUGGUUACCACCAGAUUCUAAGAAAAGUCUUUCCACUGCAGAUUGGAAUCAUCUAAGCCACUUACACGUAUCCUUUUAUUUAUUGGUGAUUCUGCUCGGCCAGCUAAAGGUAAAAAAACCCACCUCUUUCUUGUAUUUCAGGCGCAUUUCUAGUUAAUACUCAUUAACUGACUUCAUGUAUGUUACACAUCAUCAGCCUGAUUCACUACUGACAUAAAACAGAAGCAAUUCGUUAGUAACGGUCCCUUGCCAAUUAGUGAACUAAAUUACGUUUGAACAAUUUUCUUCAAAGAUUCUCCCCCCCCCCAGUGCAUCAUUUGGCAAGUCCCCUGAAUGCUUACAGUAAUUAUGUGCGUGCAGUGAAAGGAGACUGUUACCUCUUCAAGCAAAAUAAAUGAAUAUGUGAUCUUUGUGUUAAUAUAACAAUGAGUAAUACAAAGAAUCACAGACAUCCUCCCUUUGAUCUGCCAGAGAUACUAACAGCAAUUAAGAUGACAAGCCGUUUUAAAACCCAGAAUAUUGUGAAGGUUCCAUGAGGGGAAAGUGAUUGUUUUGUAGGGUUUUCAGAAGAUCAGUGAAGAAGGGGAGCCCUUCUUGUCCCUGGUGACCACAGGUCUUUUGGCAGGCGUGGUGUGGGUAUCCUGACACCUGCCGAGCCACAAACAGGUUGGUGGUGCUUCUAAAAAUCGUUCCCUCUUUCUGGGAUAGCAUUUAACAAGAAGAGUGGUAUCUCUGUUUCAAAUUGAAAAUCAAACUGAAGUCAACGGAAAAUGUUUAGCAUUGUCUCAACCACAUCCUUAAAUACAUUGGCCGCAGCGAGAAAAUAACCCCGAGUUCUGGUGCCAUGCAGUGAUCGUGGGGACAGGUGUCAGGUUGGUUUUAACGUGAAAGCUGAGGAUUCUUUUGGGAUUUCCAGUGCUGCGUGAGAUCUAGGAAAUCAGCUCAUCUGACUUUCAGGUUUGGAAGGAGCGCAGAAAGAAGAAAUGAAACAUGACACAUGAGUAGGAGAAACGAAGACACUUUCAUACUUUUAAAAAGUGUGAGAGUUAGGAGCUUUGACGUUGAUUUCAAUGGAGCACGGAGGAGCCUCUGCCCACGGUGAUAUACCCACAAUGCAAAAAUCACAUGUUGUCAGCACUGCCCAAAGGAGAUGGGCUAUCAUUUUUUCCCCACUGGAUUUCUGUAGCAAUAGCCAUGAAUUAUCUUGACUAUCCCUGCUAUAAAUGGGAUUGGAAACCCGCUGGUAGAUUUCACGAGUCCGGUUCUAAUAAUGAACCUUUAUCUGAAGCACUGUUCCUUCAGGUUAUCCUCUCUUGGCUGAGACUUUAAUUUUCAGACUUUCUGCAUUUUUCCUCUUUAGUCAGCAGGUAAAAUAUGUAGUCGUGGCUGCCGGAGCCGAGUGCCUGCAUUUGUCAUGCCACAGAGCUGCCAUUCUCAGGGGCCAAGAUCUUUGUGCCAGCAGCAUCGUGUCACCCCAAUGGAAUCCCACCCACGUGUGGUGCUGGGCAAAGUCUUUUUUGUUAAUGGAUGAGUAAAAUUGCAUCUGGCUUUUGUUGUCAUCACGAGGUAAGUAAGAGGGAUUUGCAUCUGAACUGGCACGCUUUCUGUAGGCAGCUUCCAAGGCUAAUUUCAGGCAGGCUGGCACGAAUAUCCUUCCUUUACACAGAGACUGAGACUCCGAAGCCUCGUAGGAGUUUUCCAUAGGAAACACCGCCCUGGGUCUCCGUGUGCCAGAUGUGCUCCUAUGGCAUUUCCCUGCACAUCAAUGACCUACUGUUCCAGCACGGAAUCGAUCGGCCUUCUUGUGACGUGUUCCAAAUACUUUACUAGGGUAAGACUGUCUGAAACACAGGAACGUGAUGUGUCCUGAAAACAGCUUGGCAUUUGGAGUUGGCUGAGCUCUACCCGAACCUUUGCCAGCCUCAGAACUAUGAAUUGAAUGUCAACCCGAGCAGGUGGCACACAGGCUGGGAAGCCAUCAGGGGACAGUUGCUUUUUGUCUGUAAAGACAUCUUCUUACCAGUUCAGUUGAACCAGGAAGCUGAAGCUGCUUGUACCCAUGCACAGCACUGAGACUCAGGAGAGCUUCCUGCAUGCCCCAGAGGGGGCAUUUCUGACCUGUAAGUGUCUCACUUCAUUGCAGGAGAGCUGGACUAGAUGACCUUUAAAGAUGCCUUCCAACUGAAGUGAUGCUGUUAUUUGGUGAUUCUGGGGCUUGCUACACAAAUCUCUUCCUCUCUUCCCUCUUUUAAAGAGUGCUGCCCAUGGGAGAAGGAACACCAUCCUGUGAGCCCUUGCAGAAGCUGCCGUCACAGAGCUUUGAUACUGUUGGAUGCCUAUAGAGGCUUCCACGGUGUUCAUAAACAUCAUAAUGGGGUGCAAUUUCAAUAAAAAUCAGUCUUUCCAAAGCUUGCACCCGUAAAAAGAAGGGGUGUUUCUCUCUGCUCCUCUGGUCAAAACAGCCUGGCAUCUGAGACAUUGCUGAGCUCUGCUCACACCUAGAAUCAUAGGAUCAUUAAGGUUGGAG